RNAcentral lists this ribosomal RNA (253 nucleotides) under uncultured bacterium. RNAcentral's name for it is "partial 16S ribosomal RNA". It matches the Rfam family "Bacterial small subunit ribosomal RNA", at positions 524 to 776 of the family's 1533-position model. The record is from RNAcentral.
UACGUAGGUGGCGAGCGUUGUCCGGAUUUACUGGGCGUAAAGGGCGUGCAGGCGGUUUGCUAAGUCUAGGGUGAAAGCUCCCGGCUUAACUGGGAGAGGUCCUUGGAUAGUGGCAGACUUGAGGAGGGUAGAGGAGAGUGGAAUUCCCGGUGUAGUGGUGAUAUGCGUAGAUAUCGGGAGGAACACCAGUGGCGAAGGCGGCUCUCUGGGCCCUACCUGACGCUGAGACGCGAAAGCGUGGGGAGCGAACCGG